UGUUAACGCCUGGUUUUCCCUUCGACCUC
RNAcentral lists this non-coding RNA (29 nucleotides) under Homo sapiens (human). The record is from RNAcentral. Lineage: Eukaryota; Metazoa; Chordata; Mammalia; Primates; Hominidae.